CACAUGUGACCUGCAGGUGAGGGCUAUUAAACAGAAAAAAGUGGGAAAAUGCAGUGAUGGGAGCUUUUACUUUUAUAAUAACCUGGUCAUUGGGUGAGGGCUAUUAAUUUAAUAACUGGAGGCGUUAUCUAAUGUCCUUUCUAGUCCCCACCCAUGGAUUGGGUGGAGGCUACUGAAAACAUAUUUAAGGGGGUUGAACUAAUUGCAGUUCAAACUGAAAAACUG
Non-coding RNA from Pelobates cultripes (western spadefoot toad), 225 nucleotides. Lineage: Eukaryota; Metazoa; Chordata; Amphibia; Anura; Pelobatidae. The record is from the annotation of a GenBank genome assembly.